GUGCUCACUUCAGCAGCAUAUAUACUACAAUUGGAAUGAUUCAGAGAAGAUUAGCAUAGCCUCUUCACAAGGAUGACACACCAACUCAUGAAGCAUUUCAUAAGUUU
Molecule: small nuclear RNA, 107 nt
Organism: Myotis lucifugus (little brown bat)
Lineage: Eukaryota; Metazoa; Chordata; Mammalia; Chiroptera; Vespertilionidae
Source: Ensembl